UGAGGAAUAUUGGUCAAUGGACGAGAGUCUGAACCAGCCAAGUAGCGUGCAGGAUGACGGCCCUAUGGGUUGUAAACUGCUUUUAUAAGGGAAUAAAGUGAGUCUCGUGAGACUUUUUGCAUGUACCUUAUGAAUAAGGACCGGCUAAUUCCGUGCCAGCAGCCGCGGUAAUACGGAAGGUCCGGGCGUUAUCCGGAUUUAUUGGGUUUAAAGGGAGCGUAGGCCGGAGAUUAAGCGUGUUGUGAAAUGUAGACGCUCAACGUCUGCACUGCAGCGCGAACUGGUUUCCUUGAGUACGCACAAAGUGGGCGGAAUUCGUGGUGUAGCGGUGAAAUGCUUAGAUAUCACGAAGAACUCCGAUUGCGAAGGCAGCUCACUGGAGCGCAACUGACGCUGAAGCUCGAAAGUGCGGGUAUCGAACAGG
RNAcentral lists this ribosomal RNA (424 nucleotides) under uncultured bacterium. RNAcentral describes it as "bacterial SSU rRNA". It matches the Rfam family "Bacterial small subunit ribosomal RNA", at positions 355 to 776 of the family's 1533-position model. The record is from RNAcentral. RNAcentral also lists the same sequence under 1 other name.